Rosa chinensis is the source of this 2473-nucleotide long non-coding RNA. RefSeq lists it as uncharacterized. The record is from RefSeq and is a predicted model, not a curated record. NCBI's taxonomy places the organism in Eukaryota, Viridiplantae, Streptophyta, Magnoliopsida, Rosales, Rosaceae. The transcript has 2 exons.
GAUUUGUGACUUUAUUCCAAUGGUAACUGAACUACUUCCGGUAGAUGUUAUCACAGAACAAUGCUCCCUCACUUUCAGAAAUGAACUUGGGAGUACUGGGACCAGUUGUUCUACAAUGAUUGCAUCAAAGAAGCAGAGAUUUAUCAGGGCAGAAAUGGUCAUACAAGGGCUAUGAAUUUUUUUUCCGAGUUAGUUGUGUACUAGAGGAAUGCCACAACUCAGUUUGUUUCUUUUUAUAGGUUGGGCUAAAAUGAGAAGCCAUGAAUCUCGGUUCUCCAACUUCCACCUCUAUCUGCACUGAAUUGGAGGAGGGUGUUUAUAGGGACACAAAAUCAACAGCCACUGACUUGGUAUAAGUGAUACUUGAACCCUCCUGCCAAUUCUGAUGCACCUGAAGGAGAUGAGCCUUUGGCUUUGGACAUGGGGAGCAUGCAUGGGGAAGGGUCAAGUAUGAUUCAAUGGGGAGAGCAUUGGAAGAUACUGGACUAUUCAUGCUAAUGGUAAUUGGUGAUUUUUUAGCUAAUCCACUUGGACAUGGGAAUCGUUACAAACUGAAUCUAUUAGCGUGCAAUCCACCAGUUCAAUAUAUUGCAAGGUUGUUCUUCAUGAAUAUUUGGGUUCAAGUUUCAUUGGGAUUUGUCCUGAUUGAGUGCUAGUAUAUAUGAACAUAUAUAUUCUCUUGAAUUCUUUUAUAAGCACAUACUUGUUUGAUUUCAUAAUCUCUUGGUGCUGUAUGUUCAAGAAGGGGUUUUGAUUCCGAGGCCGGAGACUGAACUCAUUGUUGAUUUGGUGGGUGAUGUGGUGAAGGAUGAGGAGGGUUUCAGAGAGGGUUUGUGGGCAGAUUUGGGGACUGGGAGUGGGGCUAUUGCUAUUGGGAUUGGGAGGGUUUUGGGGACUGGUGUCAGAGUCAUUGCAACUGAUUUGAGUCUCACUGCGAUUUUGAUUGCGGGUUUUAAUGUGGAGAGGGAGGUAUGGUUUACAGGUUAGUGUUUGGCAUUGUGCUUGGAGCUUAAAAGUGACAUUAAAGUAGUUGUGUAGACAUGCUAUGUUGUGUUUUGAAUUUAUGUUGAGAUAGAUAGAGAAUGCUAUAGUUAUAGCUUUGUAAUGGAUUGGAUUAGUUUUGGAGAAUGAGAAUGUCUACUAAUAAUAUGAGUUGUUAAAUGAAAAUGCAAGAAAAAGAGUAGAGCUUUAUCACCUUGGUAUUCACUAUUUGACAAUUGUUGGAUUAAGUUGGGCAAGAAUUUGAGUCCAUAACAUUGAUGGUUUUGGUAAUUUAAAUGGGGUUUUGGUAUAAUACUUGCAGAGACUAAGGUAGAGUGUUUGAAAAAAUAUGACGAGAGGAGUAGUGCCCGAGAGUCUUCAAGAGCAUGCAAGUACCUAAAUUUGGACAUUAUUGAGAAUGUAUUGUUUUGUUGUUGUGUUGUUAUAUACCGUUUUAAUUCUUGCUGCCUUAUCUAAAAUUAUUGUAGGCUGCCCCAUGCAUUACAACUGACCCCUUGCUUGUGUUGGUAUACCUUUGGGUUGAGCAUGAAUUAAAUGCAAUCAAUUUUUAAAGGUUCUGUAAGGUCAGGUUUGCUUGGCUUGUGUUAGUUUGUUUUCCAUUGUGAUACUUGGUCUUUUUCAUGUCACAAGCAAUUGUUAAGGAAAACUCUCUCUCUAUCAUUCAAUACUUGGGUUGUUGUUGCAUAAGAGGCAAUUUCCAAUAACACAAAGCAAUUCAUCAAAUACUUAGUAUAUCAUUGUCCCGUGUUAGUUCAUGUAUUUUACAGAUUUUGAUGUUUCAGUUUUAAACUCAUUCUAUGUGAGAACAAAAUCUAGUCUUUCAGUAUUCAGUCUGGUCUUUCUUAAUAGAGAUGUAGAAAAAGUUAUAUCCAUUAUAUUUGGCCAUUUUUGUUCAGUACAAGUGAUUGGGUUGUUGAUGACUUAGGCAGGCAGCAUUAUUUUAUUUUAUUUUUUGUUACAGAAGGGAAUUGGUAUUGAGUGUCGAAACUGCUAAGUGUUUCUUUUCAUCAUUUCGCCCUUUGAACUUUUUAUACUCUUGAAGGUGCCAAGUAGUAACAUUGCUUUUAUAUUCAUCAGCAUAUAUUUGAGCCCUGGAGAGGCAGUAAUUGUUGCUCAGGAAGUUGUCAAUAUAAUGGCUGCGAAGGGAUAUGAUCUGGGACAAGAUACAUUAAUCAAGGCCAAAAGCUUCUGAUGAGUCCUACCAAGUAUCAGCUACUACAACAGCCAAGGUUUACAGCUACUUCAUAAAACUAUAUUUUUCUCUUUACAGAGGGGAGAGUUAUCAAGGGAACACCUCCAUCGAUAUGAGCAAGCACCAUAUGCCCAGAAUGUAGUUGAGAUAGAGAAAAAAAAGCUUUCCGAUCACCAAGUUUGUAUUUCAAUGUAUAUUUUGCAUAUCACACAUGAGCUUUUUGUAUUUUAGAAUUUUGAACAUUGCUCAGAUGUAUGACCUUCGUUUCUUUAAAGCUUA